RNAcentral lists this ribosomal RNA (101 nucleotides) under Ulva expansa. RNAcentral's name for it is "partial 23S ribosomal RNA". Lineage: Eukaryota; Viridiplantae; Chlorophyta; Ulvophyceae; Ulvales; Ulvaceae. The record is from RNAcentral.
CUUUUACUGCGAAAAGGGCUUGGAGAGUUAAGCAAGUCCAUGUUCUAGAGGUGGCGUAAGGCUGCCCCUUUUAUAUACUUGCCUAUAGUUAUAAAUAUUAU